AGCGCGCCUUCGGGCGAGCGGCGGACGGGUUAGUAACGCGUGGGAACGUGCCCAGAUCUACGGAAUAGCCACUGGAAACGGUGAGUAAUACCGUAUACGCCCUUAGGGGGAAAGAUUUAUCGGAUUUGGAUCGGCCCGCGUUAGAUUAGGUAGUUGGUGGGGUAACGGCCUACCAAGCCUACGAUCUAUAGCUGGUUUUAGAGGAUGAUCAGCAACACUGGGACUGAGACACGGCCCAGACUCCUACGGGAGGCAGCAGUGGGGAAUCUUGGACAAUGGGGGCAACCCUGAUCCAGCCAUGCCGCGUGAGUGAAGAAGGCCCUAGGGUCGUAAAACUCUUUCGCCUGUGAUGAUAAUGACAGUAGCAGGUAAAGAAACCCCGGCUAACUCCGUGCCAGCAGCCGCGGUAAUACGGAGGGGGUUAGCGUUGUUCGGAAUUACUGGGCGUAAAGCGCACGUAGGCGGAUUAGAAAGUUAGAGGUGAAAUCCCGGGGCUCAACCCCGGAACUGCACUUUAAAACUACUAGUCUAGAGUUCAGAGAGAGGUGAGUGGAAUUCCGAGUGUAGAGGUGAAAUUCGAAGAUAUUCGGAGGAACACCAAGUGGCGAAGGCGGUCACUGGCUCGAUACUGA
RNAcentral lists this ribosomal RNA (632 nucleotides) under uncultured Rhodobacterales bacterium. RNAcentral describes it as "bacterial SSU rRNA". It matches the Rfam family "Bacterial small subunit ribosomal RNA", at positions 65 to 743 of the family's 1533-position model. The record is from RNAcentral. Lineage: Bacteria; Pseudomonadati; Pseudomonadota; Alphaproteobacteria; Rhodobacterales.